RNAcentral lists this ribosomal RNA (104 nucleotides) under Bifidobacterium breve. The record is from RNAcentral. Lineage: Bacteria; Bacillati; Actinomycetota; Actinomycetes; Bifidobacteriales; Bifidobacteriaceae.
GCCCAGGUGAGACGCCCGGUCCCAUUCCGAACCCGGAAGCUAAGGCCUGGCACGGCGAUGGUACUGCACCCGACAGGGUGUGGGAGAGUAGCACGCCGCCGCAC